AGUGAACGCUGGCGGUAGGCCUAACACAUGCAAGUCGAACGGCAGCACAGUAAGAGCUUGCUCUUACGGGUGGCGAGUGGCGGACGGGAGAGGAAUACAUCGGACUCUACUCUUUCGUGGGGGAUAACGUAGGGAAACUUACGCUAAUACAGCAUAUGACCUACGGGUGAAAGCAGGGGAACUUCGGACCUUGCGCGAUUGAAUGAGCCGCUGUGGGAUUAGCUAGUUGGCGGGGUAAAUGCCCACCAAGGCGACGAUCCGUAGCUGGUCGGAGAGGAUGGUCGGCGACAUGGGAACGUAGACACGGUCCAGGCUACUACGAGAGGCAGCAGUGGGGAAUAGUGGACAAUGGGGGGGAGCCUGAUCCAGCCAUACCGCGUGGGUGAAGAAGGCCUUGGGGUUGUAAAGACCUUUUGUUGGGAAAGAAAAGCAGCAGGUUAAUACCCCGCUGUUCUGACGGUACCCAAAGAAUAAGCACCGGCUAACUUCGUG
This 492-nucleotide ribosomal RNA is filed under the name uncultured bacterium. RNAcentral's name for it is "partial 16S ribosomal RNA". It matches the Rfam family "Bacterial small subunit ribosomal RNA", at positions 29 to 507 of the family's 1533-position model. The record is from RNAcentral.